AGUGGGGAAUUUUGGACAAUGGGGGCAACCCUGAUCCAGCCAUUCCGCGUGAGUGAAGAAGGCCUUCGGGUUGUAAAGCUCUUUCGGCAGGAACGAAACGGUAGUUACUAAUACUAGCUGCUAAUGACGGUACCUGAAGAAGAAGCACCGGCUAACUACGUGCCAGCAGCCGCGGUAAUACGUAGGGUGCGAGCGUUAAUCGGAAUUACUGGGCGUAAAGCGUGCGCAGGCGGUUUUGUAAGACAGAUGUGAAAUCCCCGGGCUUAACCUGGGAACUGCGUUUGUGACUGCAAGACUUGAGUGCGGCAGAGGGGGGUGGAAUUCCGCGUGUAGCAGUGAAAUGCGUAGAUAUGCGGAGGAACACCGAUGGCGAAGGCAGCCCCCUGGGUCGACACUGACGCUCAUGCACGAAAGCGUGGGGAGCAAACAGGAUUAGAUACCCUGGUAGUCCACGCCCUAAACGAUGCCAACUAGGUGUUGGGGAAGGAGACUUCCUUAGUACCGUAGCUAACGCGUGAAGUUGGCCGCCUGGGGAGUACGGUCGCAAGAUUA
Molecule: ribosomal RNA, 552 nt
Filed under: uncultured bacterium
Lineage: Bacteria
Description: bacterial SSU rRNA
Rfam family: Bacterial small subunit ribosomal RNA
Source: RNAcentral